AGUGAACGCUGGCGGUAGGCCUAACACAUGCAAGUCGAACGGCAGCACAGUAAGAGCUUGCUCUUACGGGUGGCGAGUGGCGGACGGGUGAGGAAUACAUCGGAAUCUACUUUUUCGUGGGGGAUAACGUAGGGAAACUUACGCUAAUACCGCAUACGACCUACGGGUGAAAGCAGGGGAUCUUCGGACCUUGCGCGAUUGAAUGAGCCGAUGUCGGAUUAGCUAGUUGGCGGGGUAAAGGCCCACCAAGGCGACGAUCCGUAGCUGGUCUGAGAGGAUGGUCCGCCACACUGGAAGUGAGACACGGUCCAGACUCCUACGGGGGGCAGCAGUGGGGAAUAUUGGACAAUGGGCGCAAGCCUGAUCCAGCCAUACCGCGUGGGUGAAGAAGGCCUUCGGGUUGUAAAGCCCUUUUGUUGGGAAAGAAAAGCAGCAGGUUAAUACCCCGCUGUUCUGACGGUACCCAAAGAAUAAGCACCGGCUAACUUCG
RNAcentral lists this ribosomal RNA (490 nucleotides) under uncultured bacterium. RNAcentral's name for it is "partial 16S ribosomal RNA". It matches the Rfam family "Bacterial small subunit ribosomal RNA", at positions 29 to 505 of the family's 1533-position model. The record is from RNAcentral.